GGGCGGUGCUUAAUGAAGCCUGCAGAGCGCCUUGCCCUCCUGGCUCUGCUCCCACAGCUUCAGUGCCAGCCCCGUCCCCACCCUGUCAACAAGGCCGAGUCUCUGUGGGAAAUCCAGAUGCCCAGGAGGAUCGAUGCCAUUGGCUCACCCAGGGACACUAGAUGUUUCCCAGCCUCUUGAGGGAUGGGGGUCAGAAGGCAGCGCUGAGGCCGGGAAGCCUCACGGCCAGUGAGUCCAGGCGGGAACCAAAGGCAGAGCCAGGACAGCCGCCCUCAGACUCGCAGCCCUCCCGGAGCUCCGCCGCAGAGUUAGAGAUGAGUCACCGCCUGACUCACGGGGAAAGCCCUCUCGAGAGCUGGCUGAGAACCCAGCAGGUGACAUAAACCCACUUUCUCGGUUCUUUCCUUGCCUCUCCCCCCAAGGACUAAAAAUAAAAUGUGAA
This is a long non-coding RNA of Talpa occidentalis (Iberian mole), 442 nucleotides long. RefSeq lists it as uncharacterized. Lineage: Eukaryota; Metazoa; Chordata; Mammalia; Eulipotyphla; Talpidae. The transcript has 3 exons. The record is from RefSeq and is a predicted model, not a curated record.